Neofelis nebulosa (Clouded leopard) is the source of this 3825-nucleotide long non-coding RNA. RefSeq lists it as uncharacterized. The record is from RefSeq and is a predicted model, not a curated record. NCBI's taxonomy places the organism in Eukaryota, Metazoa, Chordata, Mammalia, Carnivora, Felidae. The transcript has 3 exons.
UAAACCAUCCAAUAAAAGGUGCCAGGACAGUUGACUAAGUAGAAAGAGAUAACAUUCCAUCUUACAACAGCAGCAAAAAAAUCCAGACAGAUUAAAGACUGAAAUUCUAGAAAAGAAUACUGGCGAACAUUUUUGUGACAUCACUGUAGAGAAAGAUACCAUGAUGGAGAUCCAAAAAACCCAAACCCAUCAUAAAUGCUAUACACACGUGCUCCACUCCAGCCCGCCUGCCUCAUCCAGCGGAGAAGAGAGGCUGAGAAGCACACGUGAAGUCACAACCUAGGCGCACUGGUCACCAGAAGACUGAGACCUGAUCACAGGACCACAAAACUUCCCCUCCCUCCACAUCAAUCACCCUUCUGUAUAAUAAUGGGGAAUUAUAGCUGCUAGAGCUGCACAGCUCAGACCUUAUUUUUAAACUCUCUAGGGAACCCCGAAGAAAACAGGAAACAAAGCAAGGACACCAGAGGGGACUCCAGCCUCUGACAUCUACGGCCAAGCGCACAGUAAACAGCCCAACUCACAGCCAGGUAGACACGAGCCUUGUGCCAGAGGCCCAUUGACCCAUUAUUUUGUCUGGAAUAUCACGUCUGGCAUUAAACAGAAAGUACAAGGCAUGCUACCAGUCUGAAGAGACAAAGAAAACAUCAGAAUCAGACUCAGAUAUGGCAGAGAUUUUGGAAUUAUUGGACCAGGAAUUUAAAAUAACUGUGAUUGGGGCGCCUGGAGUUCUAUUGGAAAAAGUGGACAACUUGCAGCAACGAGUCAUGUAAGCACAGAGACGGAAAAUCGAAGAAAGAAUUUUUUAAAUGCUAGAAAUCAAAAACACUGUAGCAGAAACGAUGAACACCUUUGAUGCACUCAAGGGCAAACCCAGGCGUGGUUGAUGGGAGAGCCAGGGACCUUGAAGAUAUGUCAACAGAAACUCCUAAAGCUGCCUUGCACAGAGAGGAAAAGUGACCCAGACGGAGCAGAACGCCCAUGGAGGGUAGGACGGGCUGUGAGAGGUGGCCGUACGUGCAGCGAGCCCGCCACAAGGAGAACAACGAAAGGGACAGAAGAAACAUUUCAAAUAAUAACAGCUGAGAAAUUUCAAAACCAAUGACAGACACUAAACCGCAGAUCCAGGAAGCUUAGAGAGCACCAAUCAGUAUAAAUGCACCCCAGCAUCUACACUAUGGCAUCUCAUAUUCCAACUGCAGAAAAUCAAAGACAAAGAGAAUAUCUUGAACAAGUCAAAGGGAAAAGCUCCUAACCUACUGAGAAACAAAGGCAGAGCUCCAUUUACUUUUUCAGAAACCACACAAGAAGAGAAUGAAAUUAAAUAUUUAAGGUGUAAAAGAAAAAACACACACCAACCUAGCAGUUCUGUAUCCAGUGAAAUUAUCCUUCACAAGAAAGGAGAAAUACUUGUACAGAUAAACAAAAAAUGAAGGAUUCUGUCAACAGUUGGUCUACCUUGAAAGAAAUGUGAAAAGAAGCUCUUCAGAGAGAAGGAAAACAAUAUAGGUGAGAAUCGGAUCUAUAGAAAAGCUAUGCAAAUAUCCAAGGAGAAGCAUUCCAAGCUUUGGGAAGAGCAGUACAAAGGCCCUGGGGCAGGGUGGGGGGCAGAGGAGUGGGGAGCUUGCUGGGAAUGUUUCAGGAACAGCAGAAAAGCUGAGGUAAUUGAAACAGACCUAUUUGUUAUUAAAGGAAGUUAAAAAUAAGAAUAAAGAUACAUUACCUGUAUAAAAAUUGACUCCCCCUCCCAAGUAGUUCUCAAUACCAUUAACAUACAGAAACAAUCGAAAACUACACAGAGUCAAUAUUUAUUCUGUUGGAAAACCUAUGACCAAAGGGAUAUGUGAGUAUUUAGGCUCAGGAAAAAGGCACUAAGUUAUGUGGGUCUGGAUCCUGUAAGGUCAGCCGUCCGUCUUCGCUAACUGCUGCAGCCAUGCUGCCUCUUCCUGUAGCACUCCCCUCACACGAAUGACGAAGUCCGUGUUUGAAAAGACCGACUUGCUUCAAGCCACGUCUCCCAUACUAAUUCGUGUAUCUUGCAGAGCUCCUACUAAUCUCACAGUUUUGAGUGCUUUGUGUAUAGACAGCACCUGUAUUAAGCCUUCAGGAUCGACGUCAAAAGAGAGGUGUCUGCAGGGAAAGAUGUAAUUAAGGACACCAAGAGACCCUGAGGGGCACGCAGCUAUGACGCUCCCCUGCCGGCAACAGCACGCAGCCAGGAGGCACCGUCGCCAAAGCACCCAGGGUCUUCGCAUCCAGAGACGUGACCGCGUGGAUUUCCAAACUGUGGCACAAAGAAGCCAGGGAGGGAGACACAGGGCUGAGAAAGAAACCCCAUGCCACGUGGUCAACUCGGUCCAGCACUCCUGCUGAGUGGCGCGUUCUGGUUAGCGAUAAGCCACAAAGCAAAGCAACACACGCCUCACAAGGGUGCGAGCUCAGGUAAGCCAGGGCCAUGGUUAUGACCACGCCGUCCAUGUGGCAGUCCAGGCAGGAAUGACAACGGCGGAAAGAAAUGAAAGAUUCCCGUACUGGAAAUAAUCCCGAACAUAAGGACACAAUAUUUCCACCUACGCCAUGGCCCUUCACUGCCUCACCCCUGCACUGUCAACUACAUGCUGCCUCGGUCAGUCCCUGAAGGCCGCUCCUGCCUCCUCAGUGAAAACACGGACAACAGGCCGCUACAGGUCCGUGGUUCCCUGCAGACCUCGGGCCGCGCUGAUGGACACCCGCUGUCGGUGUGCCAGGGAGGAGAGUCUUGGCGCUCAGAUUUGUGGCUGGCACAGCAUUGGAAGACAGGCUUUAUGAACUACCUAUGAAUAUAUUUAUAUUACGGUCGGUUAUCAUCACUGAAAGGAAAUCUCGCCACUGUGCUCAUUUGUAAAUUCCAUAUGUCUACACACACACAAAUACAUAUACAUCCGUGAAGUUUCUGGAAGGCACGCAAAUCGUCUGGCCACCCUAUAGCAGUCAAGGGAAACGGAAGACAGGAGGAGAGUUAAAUUCAAGGCCCCAGGGGGCUAAGAUCACACGCUGUGUGAGGGGGAACCUCUCCUCUGAUCUGUGUGAACAAAUGCAAGGUGCUAAUACCCUGUGCACACCAGACUGUGACCUUUACUAACGAGAUUCCUCCUUGUUGAUUCAGGGGGUCCCAGGUGCAAACGUGUCCCGCCUAACGUGAGCAGCUACACUUGGCCUGGGGACGUGACCAGAACUUUCACCCUUGUCGCCUAAAUUAAAGGGUUGCUAAGUUUUCCGACAAAAACGCUCAUCGGCAAAACCAUGUCGCCCACAGCAAACUCCACGCAGGACAGGCAGCGUCUGGGUGGCACACACAGCCCAGGGAAGAAGGGUGUGACCUCGCCUCCUGGGCCACCCGCAGCAGAGACCGGUUGCCAGGCAGCAGAACGUGACAUUUACGAACGUGCCCACGAAACUUCCCUAGAUCUGACGGCACCCGAGCCGGCAAGCCUUCCUGCAACCGCGGACGAUUCCAGAAGGCCCCACGACCGCCUUGGAAAGCCCACGUCCCAGGAGGCGGAUGGGCACUGCUGGCAGAUGGGCACAGGUGAGCCCAUGUCACUGGGUCAGGGUGUCACCGGUACAUAAAACCUGCAGGAUGAACCUACUGUGGCUCACUCGGAACACCUGUGGGUCCCCUAACCCACGCAGCCCACGGUCCUGGACACAGCGGGGGCACACGGUGCGGAGAGGGAAGAACACGGUCAGAGCACUGCAGGCAGGGACACGCUGGGCACCUGCAGCACAUCUCACGUGUUCAUAGUACAUCGUGGCACCACUAUUUUCAUAAAAUUAAUGAACUCU